Molecule: ribosomal RNA, 422 nt
Filed under: uncultured bacterium
Lineage: Bacteria
Description: bacterial SSU rRNA
Rfam family: Bacterial small subunit ribosomal RNA
Source: RNAcentral
GGGCUCACACAAGCGGUGGAGCAUGUGGCUUAAUUCGAGGCAACGCGAAGAACCUUAUCCUGGGUUUGACAUGUACGGAUGGCUCGCCUGAAAGGGAUGAGUCUGCCUUCGGGUGAAACGUACACAGGUGCUGCAUGGCUGUCGUCAGCUCGUGUCGUGAGAUGUAGGGUUAAGUCCCGCAACGAGCGCAACCCUUAUUUUUAGUUGCCUUUUAUGGAACUCUAGAAAGACUGCUGGUUAUAAACCGGAGGAAGGCGGGGAUGACGUCAAGUCAGCAUGCCCCUUACACCCUGGGCUACACACGUGCUACAUUGGGCGAGACAAUGAGACGCAAACCUGCGAAGGCUAGCUAAUCUAUAAACUCGUUCUAAGUUCGGAUUGUAGGCUGCAACUCGCCUGCAUGAAGGUGGAAUCGCUAGUAA